UAUGGUUAGCUCAGUGGUAGAGCAUUUGCCUAGCAUGUGUGAGGCACUGGGUUUGAUCCCCAGCACCACAU
This 71-nucleotide transfer RNA is filed under the name Marmota monax (woodchuck). RNAcentral describes it as "tRNA.Ala". The record is from RNAcentral. Lineage: Eukaryota; Metazoa; Chordata; Mammalia; Rodentia; Sciuridae.